GAGGGAAGAGCUGGGAGGUGGGAAGUGGGGGAGGGGCCCCAGACCAGGCUCAGAGCAUAUCCUUGCUCCUGGCCUCCACCGCAGAAGGUGGCUCACCCCUCUGCAUGGAACAGUCUCUCUCCAUUCCCUCUACCCUGGCCUUCCUCCUCCUUGCAGGCCCCAGAAGCUGGAGGGGGCUGGUCGGGGUUGGGCUCACAGACACAGUGGUGGAGCUCACAGAAGUGCCCCCACCCACCAGGAGCCCAGGGUGGGCCUCAGCCAGCCGGGGGUAAUGAGGCAUGGGAUGGACUCUGCGGGCACCAGGCCUGACCCUGAGUGCACCCAGGCGAGGGCGGGGGACACUCAGAUCUGCCCCUCUCUGCAGGAACCUGGUUUCCCCACCCUGGAGGCCAGCGCCAAAGGACGUUCACGUGCAGCUAUGCAGGCCUGCUGCAGAUCCAAGUCCUGUGACCGGGGUCCUGCCCAAGGGUCCUGCUUCCCUAGGCAUCCCAGAAGUUCAGCCUGCAUCUCGACCAGAGCCUGAGAGUAGACACCUGCCGGUUUAUCUGUCCCUUCAUGUAGCAGGUGACAGAGGUGCCAGGGGCAUGGCAGGGGUACUCUGACACAGCACUGCCCCACGGAGCCCAUGUCCCAGGGCAGAAGACCCACGAUGCACAGCCAGCCAGGUGGCCUCAUCCGAUCAGUCAAAGGCCUCAAUAGAACCAAGACUGACCUCUGCCAAAGAGAGAAUUCUUUCAGCAGACGGCCUUCGGACUUGAGCUAUGACGGCAACUCUUCCCCGGGCCCACCUGACGGACUGGGUUUCUCAGCCUCCACAGUCGUGUGAGCCAAUUCCGUAAGAUAAAUCUCUCUCUCUUCUCUCUCAAUCUCUCUCUCAAUCUCUCUCUCUCUCCAGGAAAGAACUCCAGGGUAGCUGGGAGCUUGGUAUGUUCCAGGACAGCAGGGAGGCCAGAGCCGCUGUCAGUGUGAGAGGGUCGGAGUACAGUGGGGCCCUCCCUGCAUGUGGGGCCUCAUAAGGUGGCAUAGAUGCACGCUUGUUCUGUGUGGACAGGGUUUGGGUGGGGGUGAUGCUUCCUCUGUUCCCUGGGUAGAGACUUGAUGUCUGGUGGCCUGGGGAAGGCAAGGAGGCCAUGUGGAGGCUGCUGCUGUGGUCCGGGUGAGAGGUGACGCCACUGUAGGGCAGCUGGUGGCAUGCAUAAUUCAAAAUAGGCAUAUUGACCAGAUGCAGUGGCUCAUGCCUGUGAUCCCAGCACUUUGGGAGGCCAAGGCAGGAGGAUUG
RNAcentral lists this long non-coding RNA (1279 nucleotides) under Homo sapiens (human). RNAcentral's name for it is "HSALNT0314488". Lineage: Eukaryota; Metazoa; Chordata; Mammalia; Primates; Hominidae. The record is from RNAcentral.